Molecule: ribosomal RNA, 307 nt
Filed under: Actinomycetales bacterium TLI258
Lineage: Bacteria; Bacillati; Actinomycetota; Actinomycetes; Actinomycetales
Description: bacterial SSU rRNA
Rfam family: Bacterial small subunit ribosomal RNA
Source: RNAcentral
UCUAAUACCGGAUAUUACMUMBGACCGCAUGGKCUGGUGGUGGAAAGCUCCGGCGGUGAAGGAUGAGCCCGCGGCCUAUCAGCUUGUUGGUGGGGUGAUGGCCUACCAAGGCGACGACGGGUAGCCGGCCUGAGAGGGCGACCGGCCACACUGGGACUGAGACACGGCCCAGACUCCUACGGGAGGCAGCAGUGGGGAAUAUUGCACAAUGGGCGAAAGCCUGAUGCAGCGACGCCGCGUGAGGGAUGACGGCCUUCGGGUUGUAAACCUCUUUCAGCAGGGAAGAAGCGAGAGUGACGGUACCUGC